CAUCAAUAUCAAUAUACUUCAAAUCCAAACGAUAAUAAUGAAUAAUAUUACGUACAUAAUAUACAGAGAGUGUUUCACUAAGCGUGCUCACCCCAUUGUUUUGGUUUAAUUUUGCACGUAUUCAUAUUCUGAUUUUUGGAAUUUUUAAGCAUAAUUAAAGCCGAUAUUUUCGAAUACUUAGAUUAGUCACAACAUUUAAGGAGUAUCCAUGUGUCGAUACCAACUUUGGUUUUUCAAAUGAGAACCUAUAUUAAAAAUACCAUAAACUGACGGAGUAUUACUUUAAAUACAUUUUUGGUAUUAAAAUUGUUCGAUUUCAGUCGACCCGUUGACGAGCCGUUCAGUUUUAAGUUUAGGCAGGGAAAGAGUAGUGGAGCACUAAUAAAAUGUCAUGCGCCGUGUCACCACUAGUGGUGGGAAAAAUCCGGAUUUGCCGAAGUUCGAAAAUCCGGAUUUUCGCAAUCCGAAAAAUUUCUCUUAAGACAUAUAAUAAUUUUCAUCGCAGAUACCUACCAAACAAAAAUGCAUACAAAAACACAAAUGUAUCAAAUAAACGCAAUAGCCUGAAAAUAACUAGUU
This is a non-coding RNA of Cinara cedri, 579 nucleotides long. Lineage: Eukaryota; Metazoa; Arthropoda; Insecta; Hemiptera; Aphididae. The record is from the annotation of a GenBank genome assembly.